UUUUACAUGAGAGUUUGAUCCUGGCUCAGGACGAACGCUGGCGGCGUGCCUAAUACAUGCAAGUCGAGCGGACAAAAG
This 78-nucleotide ribosomal RNA is filed under the name Bacillus sp. VT-16-64. Its description in RNAcentral is "partial 16S ribosomal RNA". It matches the Rfam family "Bacterial small subunit ribosomal RNA", at positions 1 to 76 of the family's 1533-position model. The record is from RNAcentral. Lineage: Bacteria; Bacillati; Bacillota; Bacilli; Caryophanales; Bacillaceae.